GUGCCAGCCGCCGCGGUAAUACGAAGGUGGCAAGCGUUAUUCGGAUUUACUGGGCGUACAGGGAGCGUAGGCGGUUCGGUAAGCCCUUUGUGAAAUCUUCAGGCUUAACCUGGAAAAGUCGGAGGGGACUGCCGGGCUAGAGGACGGGAGAGGAGCGCGGAAUUCCCGGUGUAGCGGUGAAAUGCGUAGAGAUCGGGAGGAAGGCCGGUGGCGAAGGCGGCGCUCUGGAACGUUUCUGACGCUGAGGCUCGAAAGCGUGGGGAGCAAACAGGAUUAGAAACCCUUGUAGUCC
This 292-nucleotide ribosomal RNA is filed under the name uncultured bacterium. RNAcentral describes it as "partial 16S ribosomal RNA". It matches the Rfam family "Bacterial small subunit ribosomal RNA", at positions 505 to 796 of the family's 1533-position model. The record is from RNAcentral.